GACGAAGGGGGCUAGCGUUGUUCGGAAUUACUGGGCGUAAAGGGCGCGUAGGCGGCCUGAUAAGUAGGGGGUGAAAUCCUGCGGCUUAACCGCAGGGCUGCCUUCUAAACUGUCAGGCUAGAGCACAGUAGAGGCAGGUGGAAUUCCCGGUGUAGCGGUGGAAUGCGUAGAGAUCGGGAAGAACAUCAGUGGCGAAGGCGGCCUGCUGGGCUGUUGCUGACGCUGAGGCGCGACAGCGUGGGGAGCAAACAGG
Molecule: ribosomal RNA, 253 nt
Filed under: uncultured bacterium
Lineage: Bacteria
Description: partial 16S ribosomal RNA
Rfam family: Bacterial small subunit ribosomal RNA
Source: RNAcentral